Long non-coding RNA from Polypterus senegalus (gray bichir), 372 nucleotides. RefSeq lists it as uncharacterized. The record is from RefSeq and is a predicted model, not a curated record. Lineage: Eukaryota; Metazoa; Chordata; Cladistia; Polypteriformes; Polypteridae. The transcript has 3 exons.
CCUAAAUCCAAAGAGGACUGUUUCAUUUAUGUGAGGUGCAGCAGCCGUCAUCUCUGUGGUCUGCGAGUUUGGGGCACGUCGUCGCCGUCAAUUCUGCGGCUUUGCUGGCUGUUUCGGUUCAAUGGAAAACUCAUGAUGGCCUCUUUGACUUUCACUGGCACAGCUCUUAUCCUCAUGGUGACUGCCGACACUCCAAAGGGUAGAAACAAGCCGAGGUAUCUUAUGAAGACACCUGAGGAAUCACAAACACCUGGGACACCAAGGGUCCCAGACAUUACGGUGCCCUGACAUGUGGGGCUGUGUAGGAAACGUGUUGUGCAACCAAAACAUCCGCAAAUGCCCUUAAAUGAAAGUCUGCUGUGUAAACUUUAA